UUAACCCUCGGGUAUCCGCUAAUCUUGACUAAGUCCCUGAGCCGAUAAGUAAUACUCCGGUGACUUGGCUUGAAUGCUAUUGUGCAAGCUCGGCUCGUAUCGAGAAGCCUGCGGCAAACACUGAGACACCAACUUUGACCUUCGGGUUUAAGGUCCAAGUCAAUAACGAUACCCUUGGGUUACU
Molecule: non-coding RNA, 184 nt
Filed under: Psychromonas sp. Urea-02u-13
Lineage: Bacteria; Pseudomonadati; Pseudomonadota; Gammaproteobacteria; Alteromonadales; Psychromonadaceae
Description: 6S / SsrS RNA
Rfam family: 6S / SsrS RNA
About the family: E. coli 6S RNA was the first non coding RNA to be sequenced, but its function was unknown until recently. It consists of 184 nucleotides that fold into an extended hairpin structure with a large single-stranded internal bulge.
Source: Rfam by way of RNAcentral